Molecule: long non-coding RNA, 1610 nt
Organism: Cyprinus carpio (common carp)
Lineage: Eukaryota; Metazoa; Chordata; Actinopteri; Cypriniformes; Cyprinidae
Exons: 4
Source: RefSeq, a predicted model, not a curated record
AAACUUAAAAAGAAUAAAAAUAAAUGUAAAAUAAAUACAGAAAAUAAUACAUAAAGGAAAAAAGUAAUUUAAAAUAAAAAUUCAAGUUUAAAUUUUAUUACGUUAGGGCCUGUAGGGGGCCUGUAGGAGGUAAGAACAUACUGUUAACCAAACCAUGCUAUUAUAUGGGUCAUUAUUAGUCCUGUUUCAUAAAAUUUUGCAUCUGAUUGAGGACAUACUUUAACUUUAUGUUAUCAGGUGAGCUCCCUGGGUUUUUGGAGAUGAAACCCUGUUCGAAUGGGAAGCACCAUUGUGCUCCCAGGGGAUGGCACUCCUUAUCAUUGUCAGUGUGUCAUGGGCUUCCAAGGGGAUGGACGCAACUGCUAUGGUUUCUACAUUUUGGUGGUUUACCAUUUGAGGGCGAUGAUCUCGUGAACCCAUAUACUGAUGAGUGUUUUCUGCAGCUCUGUCAUCUGUUUGCUUCCUGCUCCAACACCCAGGCCUCCUUCCACUGCCAGUGCUGACCCGAACACAAGGGCGACGGCUUCCUCUGCCAACCACCACGUAAACCACAACAUUUAUCAAGAAACACACAACGCUUUCUCCCUGUUAUCUCAGUAACAGACUGUUCUCUUUAUUUAUAACACAGAAGAAGUCCGGCAAUCAAGUCAGAUACUAUUUUCAGCGGCGAAUUAUAAAACACAAAUGAGUUGUUUAAUCUUUUAUAAGAAACAAGUAGAACAUGUUCCUGGAACAACAUACAUUGUUCCAGGACUUGGCUUAGUCACAUCAUGCCAUUUAGUGAAUACUGAUAAUGUAAUGUAUUUAAAUGUUCACUGGUCCUGUUUUUUUUCUACGUUAAACCACCCUUAACCGUGUGCCAACACCACAGAGAAAGUCUGCAGGAGAGUCUAAGCAUCUACCCAGGCCUGGAGGCCUUUAUUCCUCAGUGUGAUGAGAAAGGGCAGUACAAACCCCUGCAGUGCCUGGGCACCACUGGACGCUGCUGGUGUGUGGACAGUAGAGGGCAGGAGAGAGUGGGCACCAGGACAAUACCUGGCACAGCGCAAGCCAACUGUGAUCAGCCAUGCAGGCUUGGUCCAGCCGGAGGGAAUUGCGGUGGACACUGUGCACAGGAAGUUGUUCUGGGUAGACAGUGGGAAAGACAGGAUCGAGACAUCUGAUCUGGAUGGCAGGAACAGAAAAGUGCUGAUUGAUUCUGAUUUGGUGAAUCCCAGAGCCAUCGUCAUGGAUGCUAAGAGUGGGUCAGUGAGAUUUCAUCAAAGUCCUUCAUUUGCUGUCUGUUCUAUAUUAUAUUUACCAUUAUGCAUACACAUUCAUUCAAGCUAUCAUGAAACACAAAUAAAUGUAUUAAGGUUGUAAGUUUCUUCAGAACCUUAUAUUGGACCGACUGGAACCGUGAUGCUCCCAAAAUAGAGAGCUCAUCACUGAAGGGACAUAAGAGGAAAGUACUGGUGUAAGAGGGUCUCAUGUUGCCUAAUGCCUUGACAUUAAACUUUGACACAAAUCACCUGUGCUGGGCAGAGGCAGGUAGGAGUUUACACAAAAUAUAGCAUCUCACAUUAUCAUAUAUAGGUGCAUCUCAGUAAAUUAGAAUGUUGUGGAAAAGU